This 425-nucleotide ribosomal RNA is filed under the name uncultured bacterium. RNAcentral's name for it is "partial 16S ribosomal RNA". It matches the Rfam family "Bacterial small subunit ribosomal RNA", at positions 354 to 796 of the family's 1533-position model. The record is from RNAcentral.
GUGGGGAAUCUUGCGCAAUGGGCGAAAGCCUGACGCAGCCAUGCCGCGUGAAUGAUGAAGGUCUUAGGAUUGUAAAAUUCUUUCACCGGGGACGAUAAUGACGGUACCCGGAGAAGAAGCUCCGGCUAACUUCGUGCCAGCAGCCGCGGUAAUACGAAGGGGGCUAGCGUUGCUCGGAAUUACUGGGCGUAAAGGGCGCGUAGGCGGAUCGUUAAGUCAGGGGUGAAAUCCCAGAGCUCAACUCUGGAACUGCCCUUGAUACUGGCGAUCUUGAGUGUGAGAGAGGUAUGUGGAACUCCGAGUGUAGAGGUGAAAUUCGUAGAUAUUCGGAAGAACACCAGUGGCGAAGGCGACAUACUGGCUCAUUACUGACGCUGAGGCGCGAAAGCGUGGGGAGCAAACAGGAUUAGAUACCCGGGUAGUCC